CGUGGGUAACCUGCCCAAGAGAUCGGGAUAACACCUGGAAACAGAUGCUAAUACCGGAUAACAACAGAUGAUGCCUAUCAACUGUUUAAAAGAUGGUUCUGCUAUCACUCUUGGAUGGACCUGCGGUGCAUUAGCUAGUUGGUAGGGUAACGGCCUACCAAGGCGAUGAUGCAUAGCCGAGUUGAGAGACUGAUCGGCCACAUUGGGACUGAGACACGGCCCAAACUCCUACGGGAGGCAGCACC
RNAcentral lists this ribosomal RNA (245 nucleotides) under uncultured Lactobacillus sp. RNAcentral's name for it is "partial 16S ribosomal RNA". It matches the Rfam family "Bacterial small subunit ribosomal RNA", at positions 116 to 353 of the family's 1533-position model. The record is from RNAcentral. Lineage: Bacteria; Bacillati; Bacillota; Bacilli; Lactobacillales; Lactobacillaceae.